UUUAUUUUCCAUUAAGUUUAAAUGGUUUUAAAUCGUUUGUGUUAUUAGAAUAUCGCUGUUAGUACAUAGAUUCCAUGACCACUAAAAUUUCUGUGCAAUACGGUGACUUUUUGGUUUUUAUGCCGGAGCAACGGAGACCGGAAGCGCUGAAAGUACAGUACCUCCUGUGAGUCUCCGGCUUCUAAUUUAAAGGAAUCUUUGGUCACCGGAUGGUAUAAAAACCACGAAAGGAUCCAAUCAGAUUAGAAGAGGCCAAAGUACUGUGCGCCUACCAAUUUAUAAUGAAUGUUACCGGUUUCAAUGAUGUAAUUUGAAUUGGAAGCAAUUGGAAAAAUCUUUCGGUCCAGAUGAGCAUGAACAACGACGAAAGUUGAGUAUUUUUCCAGCAGACCAGACCCUUCCUUAUUUCGAAAAAUUCACUUCGACGAUUAUUAAAAAGGCAAUAAACACGAAGAAAUGCAUGAUCUGGACGAGG
Molecule: long non-coding RNA, 475 nt
Organism: Armigeres subalbatus
Lineage: Eukaryota; Metazoa; Arthropoda; Insecta; Diptera; Culicidae
Exons: 3
Source: RefSeq, a predicted model, not a curated record